Molecule: transfer RNA, 73 nt
Filed under: Caldifarciminota bacterium
Lineage: Bacteria; Pseudomonadati; Caldifarciminota
Also listed under: 1 other name
Description: tRNA-Ala
Rfam family: tRNA
About the family: Transfer RNA (tRNA) molecules are approximately 80 nucleotides in length.
Source: RNAcentral
GGGGAUGUAGCUCAGUUGGGAGAGCACAGGCUUUGCAAGCCUGGGGUCGGGGGUUCGAAUCCCCCCAUCUCCA